GGGGGUGCACUGGUUUCGACGGGGGUGUGGAAACCGGAUAAGCGAGCCGAAGUUGCCUGGCUUCGUAAAAACGGGCACGUUAAAGAUAAACGCAAAAACUAACAACAAUUUCGCACUGGCAGCUUAGUUCUGCCCCGCGCGCACGUCUCCGUUCACCUGCAGGCGGUGAGCCGUGCGUCGAUCAUGCAGGAAAACCUCAUGCGUGAUCCCGGCCGUGUGAGGGACUAACGGGAUAGUCAAAGCAGCAGCCUGCUUUUGGGCGUCUGCCGAGGCGAAAUCAUAAAACAAAAGCUGCGCUCGGAGAAAAUCCGGCAGAAAUGCUUUCGGACAGGGGUUCGAUUCCCCUCAUCUCCACCA
Molecule: transfer-messenger RNA, 357 nt
Filed under: Bacillota bacterium
Lineage: Bacteria; Bacillati; Bacillota
Rfam family: transfer-messenger RNA
About the family: Bacterial tmRNA, also known as 10Sa RNA or SsrA, is named for its dual tRNA and mRNA-like properties. Its role is to liberate the mRNA from a stalled ribosome.
Source: RNAcentral